CUGGCGGCGUGCUUAACACAUGCAAGUGGAGCGACGAACCGGGGCUUGCCCCGGGGCAGAGCCGCGAACGGGUGAGUAACACGUGGGUAACCUGCCUCAAUGAUUGGGACAACCCGGGGAAACUCGGGCUAAUACCAAAUGUGUUCACUCCUUCCAAGGGGAGUGAGGAAAGGAAGCUUCGGCCUCCGCAUUGAGAUGGGCCCGCGGCCCAUUAGCUUGUUGGUGAGGUAACGGCUCACCAAGGCUUCGAUGGGUAGCUGGUCUGAGAGGACGAUCAGCCACACUGGGACUGAGACACGGCCCAGACUCCUACGGGAGGCAGCAGUGGGGAAUCUUGCACAAUGCGCGAAAGCGUGAUGCAGCAACGCCGCGUGGGGAAGACGGCCUUCGGGUUGUAAACCCCUUUCAGUUGGGACGAAGCUUCGUCGGUGAAUAGCCGGUUGGAGUGACGGUACCUUCAGAAGAAGCCCCGGCUAACUACGUG
This 484-nucleotide ribosomal RNA is filed under the name uncultured bacterium. Its description in RNAcentral is "bacterial SSU rRNA". It matches the Rfam family "Bacterial small subunit ribosomal RNA", at positions 36 to 507 of the family's 1533-position model. The record is from RNAcentral.